Molecule: RNA transcript, 2089 nt
Organism: Panicum virgatum (switchgrass)
Lineage: Eukaryota; Viridiplantae; Streptophyta; Magnoliopsida; Poales; Poaceae
Gene name: protein tesmin/TSO1-like CXC 5
Exons: 10
Source: RefSeq, a predicted model, not a curated record
GAAACCGGGAGCCGAAGGCAAACCCCCGGAAGCGAGACGAAAACCCCAGUCGCUCUCCCGCACUCCCACGACCUCCACAUCGUCGCCUCCGCCGGCGUCCAGCGAGUCCAGAUCGAGCGAUCGGUCCGUCCGACCCGCGGACCCGCGCGCUCCGCAGAUGAGGUGAUUCUGGAGAUGAUAGUGCAAAUCUAGCAGAAAACUGGAUUAGGAUUAAGGGGAAUGGACAAGCCACCAGAGCUGUCUCCGGGCUCUGUUCAUCUUGAUAUUGCCUCUGCUUUCUAUGCUGGCAACCCAGAGAUUGCUACCACAGCAGCAGCACUCUCCCAGGCACUUGGGCCAGCACAAACGCUUCCCCGCAUUAAGCCCUCAUCGCAGAGCCUGCAGUCUCUGCUGAUGCUGUGGCCUCCGGUGAUAUGGCCUACACCAGCUGCUGUGAAGCACCCUAUGCCACCACCUCCUCUCCCUCCAGCUAAGAAGCUGCAGGUGCUGCAAAUUUCAUCUGUACUGACACCAGCUUUGCCAGAUAUGGAGGCUUUGCCAGUUGUAAAGUUGCCACUGCCAAAGCUGCCAGUGCAUCGCUCAUUGCCAAAGUUGCAGGUGCAUCGGCCGUUACCAAAGCUGGAGAUGCGUAAACCGUUGCAACAGACAUCCUUAGUGCUGGAGCAAGAGUCACUGAAACAGGAGAUGCUGGUAAUGCUGCUAACAUCUGCAACCUCCAUCAACAUGAUGCUGAAUUCGCAAAAUCGAUGGACUGAAACAUUGUCUGGAUCAAAAGAUAAGACACCAGCAAGUAUAAAAAACUGCAAGUGCAGGAACUCAAAAUGUCUGAAGCUGUAUUGUGGCUGUUUUGCAACCGGAAGAUACUGCAAAGAUUGCAACUGCACAAACUGUUCUAACAAUGGUAGUCAUGAGAAUGCAAGAGCAAGACAGGAUGCAAUCAAUGCUGUACUGGAAUGUAGAACUGCGGCCUUUAUGCCAAAAGCUGGGAGCAGGUCAUGUGCAAUGCAAAGUUCUGAGACACUUUUGUCUUUCCCCUCUUCUGUAGAUGAUGAUAAGGGUCUUGUUUCAGAAAGAAAUACUCAUGGCCACUCUGAAUUAGGACCUCAUGAAGUUACUUACAGGGCAGUUUUGGCGGACAUUGUCCAGGUGGAGGAUGUAAAUGAACUCUGUAAACUUUUGAUUCUAGCAUCAAGACAAGCUGCCGAAGCAUUUCUGGUCCAACUAACGCAGCUGGGCUUAUUCUUAGUUCCAAGUGUUACAUGAGGACUCUCAGUUUAUUGACUUCCGAGUAAUUGCGACCAUCAUUUUACAAAUUCAGGUAUUAUGGAGAACACCAGCACAGAAAAGUUGGACCGAGCAGAGAGUUGCCUGUCCUCCACAAACAAUGACAGAGAAGCAGUUCAGAAAGAACCAGAUAUACAUGCAUGUUUACCAGAAAGCAGUUCUUAUGAACGGCACGAUACCAAAAAGCCCGUGUCUCCUGGAUCCCAGAACUUGCCAGACAUUUUCAGAGCAAGAGAAGUGUGUACUGACAAAUUUCCAUGACUAUCUCUGUAAGCCUGCAUACUGUGGCGGAGUGCAAGGAGACCAAGCGCCACCAACAAACUUCCAAUGAAUGAAUCGACGAUCCCUCCAUUCUUCUGCAAGUAUCAAUGAGCUUGACUUUCCAUUCUAUGUAUAUGUCUUGGAAAGGUCCCAAAAUUGAACAGCACGGUCGACCAAGCAUUACAUUUCCUGACUGAGAAAUAGCUUCAAUAGGCGGCGACCAAGUAUUAACCCGAGAGUACCAUUUUUUCUAGCAGAAUUCGAUCCAUGAAUCUGAUCUGUACAAAUAGCGCUCGUUUCAGAAGAAUCUGAUACGCGCUAAAGGAUUCCUAGCAGCAUGGUAGAUGCUAGCAACAUCGUUUCUUAGUCAGGUACAUUAUUGAGCUCUGCCUCUGUAAUGUAAAUAUGCAUAGUCAUGCGUGGAUCUGUUCUCUGGAUCUGAAGCCACUGUAAUCAUAUUGCCUGGUUGCCCUACCCAUAAUCCAUGGAACAUCGAUAACACUAAGAAGUAAGAACCCCGGGUAGAAUUCUCUUGUGGGGACAA